CACCCAAUCACACUCCAUUCACACUCCACACAAAUCAAAUGUCUCUCCGUCACCAAGUUGCUUCUUCUCUCCGUCGCACCAGCUUCUUCCGCCGCCGCUCGCGUCACAGGAUCUCUCUCUGUCAUCCCUCGCGUCACACGGGCUCCCUCCGCCGCCGCUCUCGUCGCGUCUGGAGCGAUUCGUGAAACUCAUCUCAACUCGGUGGUUAUUGUUGAAUGGCAAAGCUUGAAGCGAAGCUUGGAAUGCUAGUUGACUCCGUUGGUAACUUCUUCUCCGGCAAAGACCAGCUUCUCCACUAACCGAAUCAAAUCGAAUCAAACACUUUAUAUAUAGGGUUGCAGAGAUCUUCAAUCUUUUGAUCUAUUGGCACUCCACUAACCAGAUGACUGUAGUUGAGGCAUAUAUUGGAAGGAACAAAUUACAUCCACCAGAUGACUCAUCAAAGUUAAAUCCGGAAGUUUUAUCCUUGAUAAACGAGGGCAUUGCCCAGAAUACUACUGGAAAUGUUUUUGUGCCUAAGGAAGGGGGAGAGGCAGAGAUUUCAGGAUCUCCUACAGAGAAGGCAAUUCUUUCAUGGGCAGUAAAAUUGGGUAUGAAUUUCAGUCUUCUCAGAUCAAAUACGAUAGUUCUCCAUGUCUUCCCCUUUAAUUCCGAGAAAAAAAGAGGAGGGCUCUGGAGUACAUACACAUUGGAAAGGAGGGCUCUUGAUCACGAGGGAUUUGUUGCUGAGGGGCCUAAUAUGAAUGUGGCUUUUGUGACUAAAGAGAAGGAGCUUAUAAUGCCCCACUUCGAUAAAAUUCUUAGUGGCUGCACAGCUAAGAGGGUUUUGACGCUUGCUGAGAAGUUGUUGAGCAAGGGUAAGCUUCGUGGGAUAAGGAUGAAACAUGUGACUGUUGAGGAAGGAAAGAGUUCCGCUGAAAUGAUGCUUAUUGGCAGUGGCGUUCUUGUUUGCCCUGUAGUGCAGUGGGACGAGCAAGUUAUUGGAGAUGGCAGAUAUUGGUCUUUCUAUGGGCAUCCAAGGAACUGAAGUUGCAAAAGAAAGCUCAGAUAUUAUAAUCCUGGAUGAUAACUUUGCCUCAGUAGUAAAGGCAUAAAUAUAAUUCACCAUAAAGUUUUGCUUACCAUGGCUAAGAAACAUGGCAAUUUUGCUGAUGCACUGGGACAAUUAGAAUUUGACUUAACGGGAAAUUUAUUCCACUAAGACAGUAGGUGGAUUGGUCCAAUGCUAAGAACUUCUUUUGACAGGUAAAACACUCCCUUAUCCUCAAUAUAUAAUUAAGUUAAAAAUGAUACAUAAAUAAAAAAGUUUUAGAUCCGUUUGAUUUCUCUUUAAUUUUCUUUUUUA
RNA transcript from Arachis ipaensis, 1345 nucleotides. It is a transcript of the gene named calcium-transporting ATPase 9, plasma membrane-type-like, with no coding region annotated. The record is from RefSeq and is a predicted model, not a curated record. Lineage: Eukaryota; Viridiplantae; Streptophyta; Magnoliopsida; Fabales; Fabaceae.